RNAcentral lists this unclassified non-coding RNA (397 nucleotides) under fungal sp. RNAcentral describes it as "partial internal transcribed spacer region". The stretch from base 1 to 46 matches the Rfam family "Eukaryotic small subunit ribosomal RNA", at positions 1786 to 1831 of the family's 1831-position model. The record is from RNAcentral. Lineage: Eukaryota; Fungi.
AAGUCGUAACAAGGUAUCCGUAGGUGAACCUGCGGAUGGAUCAUUAACACUAUCUUAAAAACCCACUUGUGAGUGCUUAGUUUCAUUUUUUUGUGAGACGAACACUUGCAUUUUAUAACCCAAACUAGCGAACUUGUCAACGUGAAGGGGGGAUGUGUGUUAAGGAGGAGUCUCUAGAGACUCUUCCUUCUCUCUCUCUCUCUCUUUUGCGUUCGUUUUCUCUAUAUCACUUUUGUAUUCACCCUUUUAACAACAAAUCUCAUGAUUUGUCUCAUCAAAUAACUUGACUAAGAACAACUUUUUUCUCUCUCUUUUGCUUGAUUGCUAAAAGAAGAAAGAAAAAACUCAAUACAAACAAAAAAAAAUACAACUCUUAACAACGGAUAUCUUGGCUCUC